GCCAGCCUUAAACUUCCAUUUAUUUUCUCCUUAAUUUUCUACCAUCAAUUAAAAUCUUCUCCAUUAAAAGAAGUUUCCAAAAGGGAAGAUCCUAUAUGGCCUAAUUAGUCAAAUUUUUUUUAAUUUUUAUUAAUUUUUCAAUUAAAAUAAGAUUCAAUUUUUAUAAUUAAUUUAGAAAAUCUAUUUUCUUGUAUUGCCAAU
RNAcentral lists this long non-coding RNA (201 nucleotides) under Carica papaya (papaya). RNAcentral's name for it is "long non-coding RNA (CPAP_LNC001010)". Lineage: Eukaryota; Viridiplantae; Streptophyta; Magnoliopsida; Brassicales; Caricaceae. The record is from RNAcentral.